GAUGAACGCUGGCGGCGUGCCUAAUACAUGCAAGUCGAGCGAACGGACGAGAAGCUUGCUUCUCUGAUGUUAGCGGCGGACGGGUGAGUAACACGUGGAUAACCUACCUAUAAGACUGGGAUAACUUCGGGAAACCGGAGCUAAUACCGGAUAAUAUUUUGAACCGCAUGGUUCAAAAGUGAAAGACGGUCUUGCUGUCACUUAUAGAUGGAUCCGCGCUGCAUUAGCUAGUUGGUAAGGUAACGGCUUACCAAGGCAACGAUGCAUAGCCGACCUGAGAGGGUGAUCGGCCACACUGGAACUGAGACACGGUCCAGACUCCUACGGGAGGCAGCAGUAGGAAAUCUUCCGCAAUGGGCGAAAGCCUGACGGAGCAACGCCGCGUGAGUGAUGAAGGUCUUCGGAUCGUAAAACUCUGUUAUUAGGGAAGAACAUAUGUGUAAGUAACUGUGCACAUCUUGACGGUACCUAAUCAGAAAGCCACGGCUAACUACGUGCCAGCAGCCGCGGUAAUACGUAGGUGGCAAGCGUUAUCCGGAAUUAUUGGGCGUAAAGCGCGCGUAGGCGGUUUUUUAAGUCUGAUGUGAAAGCCCACGGCUCAACCGUGGAGGGUCAUUGGAAACUGGAAAACUUGAGUGCAGAAGAGGAAAGUGGAAUUCCAUGUGUAGCGGUGAAAUGCGCAGAGAUAUGGAGGAACACCAGUGGCGAAGGCGACUUUCUGGUCUGUAACUGACGCUGAUGUGCGAAAGCGUGGGGAUCAAACAGGAUUAGAUACCCUGGUAGUCCACGCCGUAAACGAUGAGUGCUAAGUGUUAGGGGGUUUCCGCCCCUUAGUGCUGCAGCUAACGCAUUAAGCACUCCGCCUGGGGAGUACGACCGCAAGGUUGAAACUCAAAGGAAUUGACGGGGACCCGCACAAGCGGUGGAGCAUGUGGUUUAAUUCGAAGCAACGCGAAGAACCUUACCAAAUCUUGACAUCCUUUGACAACUCUAGAGAUAGAGCCUUCCCCUUCGGGGGGGGCAAAGUGACAGGUGGUGCAUGGUUGUCGUCAGCUCGUGUCGUGAGAUGUUGGGUUAAGUCCCGCAACGAGCGCAACCCUUAAGCUUAGUUGCCAUCAUUAAGUUGGGCACUCUAAGUUGACUGCCGGUGGCAAACCGGAGGAAGGUGGGGAUGACGUCAAAUCAUCAUGCCCCUUAUGAUUUGGGCUACACACGUGCUACAAUGGACAAUACAAAGGGCAGCGAAACCGCGAGGUCAAGCAAAUCCCAUAAAGUUGUUCUCAGUUCAGAUUGUAGUCUGCAACUCGACUACAUGAAGCUGGAAUCGCUAGUAAUCGUAGAUCAGCAUGCUACGGUGAAUACGUUCCCGAGUCU
RNAcentral lists this ribosomal RNA (1374 nucleotides) under uncultured bacterium. Its description in RNAcentral is "bacterial SSU rRNA". It matches the Rfam family "Bacterial small subunit ribosomal RNA", at positions 28 to 1381 of the family's 1533-position model. The record is from RNAcentral.